CCUAACUUUUUCCAAAUCUGUUUCGCUUCUCCUCGAAGAAGGCAACCCAUCUCUCUAUCCAACCUCAGAUAACCAUGAAACAAAACCGUGUAUAUUAUCAAAUCAGGUUUUAUCCCUCUCUGCUUCAUCGCUUCGAAAAGAUCACUGGCUUUCUGCAACUCCAUUAGCCUAGAGUACGUCUGAAUCAUGAUCGUAUAAGUGACGAGAUCAGGGAGGUUUCCUCUCCCAACCAUUUUGUCAAACACCAGCUCGGCUUCCCUCACGCUAUCUACCUUACUUAUCAUUUUACCGUACAUGCUCCUCGCGGGUUCGACUCCAUAAGCCCACAUCCUUUUCAGCACCCUCAGAGCUUUGCCCUGACAAUUCUUAUUAUCCUCGUCGCAGAGAGCGGUAAACAGUUUAAAGCACAGGUUCUUGGGCAGAGGAGAGUUUAGCUCAACAAAUUUUCUAUAGGCGUCUUUAGCAAGGCCGGAAUCACAAUAGCCUUUCACCAAGCUGGCGUAAUUCUCCGGGCACUUGUCUUCAAGACUCGUGAAGAACUCUCUGGCUUCUUCUAAUUUACCCGCGGAACAGAGGCCGUCGAUGAUCACACUGUGGGUCACAGCAGUGGGCUCUACACCUUCAUUUCUCAUAGCUUUGUAAAUCUCAACCGCCUUUUCGCUAUGACCGUUCCUGGCGAGCCCACCGGCAAUCACGUUGUACGUGAUCACAUCAGGAUCCGUGCCCUUUGCUCUCAUCUCAUCAAACAAAUCGAGCGCAUCGGCGAAUCUGCCUUGAAGGCAGUAGCCGUCGAUCAGAGUCGUGUAGUUGACGACAUCAGGAACCAUUCCUUUAUCCAUCAUCUCUUCGAGCAGCUUCAUAGCUUCGUCCACUCUCUCGAGCUUGGUAAGAGCUUCGAACGCGGCGUUGUAACACACCUCGUCCAGGAAAACAUCCAUCUCUUUGAACUCUUGGAACCUUUUCAACGCUUCCAGCCACAUCGCGGACUCACGCAACGCUCCCAUCUUACAGUAGCAAUCGAGGAUCGAACUCACGAUCACGCAGUUGAUCCUCAGUCCCUUUUGCAGCAUCGCAUCCACGAUUCUCAAAGCUUUAUCCAACUCCAAGCUUUUGCAGUACAAAUCGAUUAUCACCGAGCAAGCGUAAACAUCAGGACCGAUACCAAACUCCUCCAUUUUGAAAAUAACUUGUUCCGCGGCUUCUGCAUUCAUCUCCUUGCAGAAUCCGCGAACCAGCAUCCCGAACGCGAACCCAAGCGCGUCACCAGAGAGAGCUUUCGCAUCUAUCAGGUCGUCAAUCAAAGCAAAAGCCAUCUCUGUCUUGCCGUUCAAACAAAGCCCUUCAAUAAAAGUCGUAUAAGCAAACACGCUGGAAGUCUCUCCGAGCAGCCUCGCGGCUCCGUCCAAAUCGCGUUUUCGACACAAGGCCUUAACCACAAUCGCGUAAGUGUAGUCGUUCGCGGACAGGCCAAGCUGGUUAAGCUGGCGGAAAAGAGCCACCACCAUAUCGGUUCUACCGAACUCGACCAAACGGUUCAUCAAGAAGUUGCAGGACUUGAUGCCAGGGACGCAGCCCAGGCGUCUGCUCUGGUACAAGACAUCUAUAGCUUCGUCGAACAUACCGAGGCCGACGUAGGCUUUAACCAAGGCGCCGGAGACUCGAGCCAAGAGGAAGUUAGAGGAGUCAGCACCUUCUUCUUCCCCGAUUGCUUCCAUCAGCUCCAUCACGCGGAUAAAGGUUUCAUCGCAUACUAAUGAAGGCUGUUAUAUACAAGAAGAGAGCUGGGUGGAGGUUCUGUGUCAAGGAGGUAGUAUGUCAGUGAAUCAUCCUUUUGUGACUGUUCCACGGACUUUCCGGGACUAGUUCGUUCGGGACGAGUUUAUCAGUGGAACGAAAAGAACAACCAAAUAAGCAAAAGGAAGAAGGCACUAUGAAAGAGGACGAAGAGAAGAACGUGACUGUUAAUGCACCGGUGCAAAAAAAAAAAUUUGUAUAUUCCAGCACGGUCCAAGAUUUGGAAACUCUACCAAACCAAUCGCCAACUUCGUCUGAAUGCAAAAUCUCUCUCUAUAUAUUGAUAAAAUCCAAACCGAUAACGAUUGCUCAAUAGUCAACAAGUGUUAAUCAUGAUAUCAGAUAUCAGAGACGAAGGUCUCAUGUCAGACCCAGUACAAAUAUCAAACAUAAGGAAAAGUGUAAAAAAAAACGUACACGGUAUGUGUACAUCCAGAACAUUUCCUCCCAACUCAGCUUCGGGUUCUUCAACUUUGUUAUACUCCCAAGCUCAUCACUGCCUUAAGAAGACGACCCUACGGAACAUAUCAUCUUCUAAAACGGUGAAUCAAGAUACGGUCAAGUGGAGGGGAGAUUUGUAUCCGUCAACAUCAACAGACUUGCCCCCAGCAUAUCCAUGGGUUUUGUGAGAUACAUACACGUAGAUCCUGGUUUUCCUGAAUAAUGCAAAGAUUAUGUAAACUACGAAAAAAGCGGAGUGCAAUAAUCCUGCAAGAAAUGAGCUCUCACAGUCAUAUAAGUGGAUAACAUGCAGCUAUUUCUGUGGCUCCUCCUCAGACUCUGGUUCCCAUACAGCAAGAGUACUCAUGCCCUGUUACAUUAAUAGACGAUUAGCAAUAAAACAAUAAGCAAUUUAAUCAGAAAAAUACCCCACUUCCCCUUACCGGUGUAGUCUUUUGAUUUCUCUCAAUGUUUUGAAUUCUACCUUUUUUUGCCUCCAAAUAAGAUGCAAAAUUAAAUAUAUAGAUCACUUGCAAAUCCAUGCUUGACCUUUCAAAUAUACACUCUUCAUUUCCGAUACUGAGAUCUCCUGGUCUUCAUAGCACGCUUAACUACAGCAAACAAAUGUUCAGGCAGUGUAAUAUCCUUUCCUGACAACUCGGUAACAAGUGCAUCUGUGCAUCCUUUGCGAUGACAAGCAGAUAUUAGAACAUUGUAGGUCACAUUAUCAGGCUUCAGCCCACACUCUAUCAUUCGAUAAAGGAUGUCGGUGGCGAUAUCUACGUUGCCAAUCUUGCAAUGGUGAUUCAUCAGAACAGUAUACAUCUUAACGUCUGGUUCUAUACAAGCAGCUCCUAACUUUUUCCAAAUCUGUUUCGCUUCUCCUCGAAGAAGGCAACCCAUCUCUCUAUCCAACCUCAGAUAACCAUGAAACAAAACCGUGUAUAUUAUCAAAUCAGGUUUUAUCCCUCUCUGCUUCAUCGCUUCGAAAAGAUCACUGGCUUUCUGCAACUCCAUUAGCCUAGAGUACGUCUGAAUCAUGAUCGUAUAAGUGACGAGAUCAGGGAGGUUUCCUCUCCCAACCAUUUUGUCAAACACCAGCUCGGCUUCCCUCACGCUAUCUACCUUACUUAUCAUUUUACCGUACAUGCUCCUCGCGGGUUCGACUCCAUAAGCCCACAUCCUUUU
This 3423-nucleotide long non-coding RNA is filed under the name Brassica napus (rape). RNAcentral describes it as "long non-coding RNA (BNAP_LNC015456)". Lineage: Eukaryota; Viridiplantae; Streptophyta; Magnoliopsida; Brassicales; Brassicaceae. The record is from RNAcentral.